CCUACGGGAGGCAGCAGUGAGGAAUAUUGGUCAAUGGCCGCAGGGCUGAACCAGCAAAGCCGCGUGAGGGAUAACGGUCCUAUGGAUUGUAAACCUCUUUUGUCAGGGAGCAAAGGGCGCCACGUGUGGCGCUUAGCGAGUACCUGAAGAAAAAGCAGCGGCUAACUCAGUGCCAGCAGCCGCGGGAAUACGGAGGAUGCGCGCGUUAUCCGGAUGUAUUGGGUUUAAAGGGUGCGCAGGCGGAAUGUCAAGUAAGCGGUAAAAUUUCGGGGCUCAACCCCGUCGUGCAGUUGAAACUGGCGUUCUUGAGUGAGCGAGAAGUAUGCGGAAUGCGUGGUGUAGCGGUGAAAUGCGUAGAUAUCACGCAGAACUCCAGUUGCGAAGGCAGCAUACCGGCGCUCAACUGACGCUGAUGCACGAAAGCGUGGGUAUCGAACAGGAUUAGAUACCCGGGUAGUC
This 459-nucleotide ribosomal RNA is filed under the name uncultured bacterium. RNAcentral describes it as "partial 16S ribosomal RNA". It matches the Rfam family "Bacterial small subunit ribosomal RNA", at positions 338 to 795 of the family's 1533-position model. The record is from RNAcentral.